AACGAACGCUGGCGGCAUGCCUAACACAUGCAAGUCGAACGAUCCCUUCGGGGAUAGUGGCGCACGGGUGCGUAACGCGUGGGAAUCUGCCCUCAGGUACGGAAUAACUCAGGGAAACUUGAGCUAAUACCGUAUAAUGACUUCGGUCCAAAGAUUUAUCGCCUGGGGAUGAGCCCGCGUCGGAUUAGCUAGUUGGUGAGGUAAAAGCUCACCAAGGCGACGAUCCGUAGCUGGUCUGAGAGGAUGAUCAGCCACACUGGGACUGAGACACGGCCCAGACUCCUACGGGAGGCAGCAGUGGGGAAUAUUGGACAAUGGGCGCAAGCCUGAUCCAGCAAUGCCGCGUGAGUGAUGAAGGCCUUAGGGUUGUAAAGCUCUUUUACCCGGGAAGAUAAUGACUGUACCGGGAGAAUAAGCCCCGGCUAACUCCGUGCCAGCAGCCGCGGUAAUACGGAGGGCCUAGCGUUGUUCGGAAUUACUGGGCGUAAAGCGCACGUA
This 498-nucleotide ribosomal RNA is filed under the name uncultured bacterium. RNAcentral's name for it is "bacterial SSU rRNA". It matches the Rfam family "Bacterial small subunit ribosomal RNA", at positions 28 to 573 of the family's 1533-position model. The record is from RNAcentral.